CCGUUGGGAGGGAAACGAAUGCGGCUGAAGUGGCUCCCCGUCAGGCUCAGGAGACGUCGGUGCGGUCUCGUUGCGUCGCGGUUGCUUCCGCGUCGCGGCUGGGCGCUCGCCGACCGAUCUGCACUUCUGCGGGGAGCCGGCCAACGGCAGUUGCUCCCGGCCCAUGAGGGCGCCGCGGGUAGGUGGCCCUCCGCGUUUGCGUGGGGAACUUAUAGCCCGGCGUCUGGCGUUCCGGGACGCGACUGAGGAGAGUCUUGCGAGUCCUUCGCACGAGCAGCGCAGGCCGCCGUCAGGUGGCUGGGCCGCUCUCGUCCGGCGGGCGGCCGCGGGGGUUACUGCGUGCAGUGGCAGCCGACGGACCCGACUGUCGGGAGGGAGGCCGGUCGCACCUUGCGCUGCGGUCGUUGGUGCCCGAAUGGCCGCAUCCGACCCGUCUUGAAACACGGACCAAGGAGUGCAACAUGCGUGCGAGUCCCGGGGUGGCAAACCCGUCGGCGCAAUGAAAGUGAAGGCGACGCUUGCGUCGCUGUGGCGAGAGCCCUCCACCUCCACGGGGGGCGCAUCGUCGACCGAUCCCUGUGUCACGCUGUGGCGGGAUUUGAGUGAGAGCGUGCCUGUUGCGACCCGAAAGAUGGUGAACUAUGCCUGAA
This 650-nucleotide ribosomal RNA is filed under the name Phorbas dives. RNAcentral's name for it is "eukaryotic LSU rRNA". The stretch from base 447 to 650 matches the Rfam family "Eukaryotic large subunit ribosomal RNA", at positions 665 to 841 of the family's 3401-position model. Lineage: Eukaryota; Metazoa; Porifera; Demospongiae; Poecilosclerida; Hymedesmiidae. The record is from RNAcentral.